UACGGAGGAUGCGAGCGUUAUCCGGAUUUAUUGGGUUUAAAGGGUGCGUAGGCGGACUGUCAAGUCAGCGGUAAAAUUGAGAGGCUCAACCUCUUCCCGCCGUUGAAACUGGUGGUCUUGAGUGGAUGAGAAGUACGCGGAAUGCGUGGUGUAGCGGUGAAAUGCAUAGAUAUCACGCAGAACUCCGAUUGCGAAGGCAGCGUACCGGCAUGCGACUGACGCUGAGGCACGAAAGCGUGGGGAUCAAACAGG
This 252-nucleotide ribosomal RNA is filed under the name uncultured bacterium. Its description in RNAcentral is "partial 16S ribosomal RNA". It matches the Rfam family "Bacterial small subunit ribosomal RNA", at positions 524 to 776 of the family's 1533-position model. The record is from RNAcentral.